UGGGGAAUAUUGGACAAUGGGCGCAAGCCUGAUCCAGCAAUGCCGCGUGAAGGAUGAAGUAUUUCGGUAUGUAAACUUCGUAAGAAUAGGAAGAAUAAAUGACGGUACUAUUUGUAAGGUCCGGCUAACUACGUGCCAGCAGCCGCGGUAAUACGUAGGGACCAAGCGUUGUUCGGAUUUACUGGGCGUAAAGGGCGCGUAGGCGGUGUGUCAAGUCAGUUGUGAAAUCUCCGAGCUUAACUCGGAACGGUCAACUGAUACUGUCACACUAGAGUACAGAAGGGGCAAUCGGAAUUCUUGGUGUAGCGGUGAAAUGCGUAGAUAUCAAGAGGAACACCUGAGGUGAAGACGGGUUGCUGGGCUGACACUGACGCUGAGGCGCGAAAGCCAGGGGAGCAAACGGGAUUAGAUACCCACGUAGUCCCUGAGCGGGCUGGCAAGGCGCAU
RNAcentral lists this ribosomal RNA (447 nucleotides) under uncultured bacterium. RNAcentral describes it as "bacterial SSU rRNA". It matches the Rfam family "Bacterial small subunit ribosomal RNA", at positions 355 to 825 of the family's 1533-position model. The record is from RNAcentral.